This 1032-nucleotide long non-coding RNA is filed under the name Homo sapiens (human). Its description in RNAcentral is "HSALNT0291383". Lineage: Eukaryota; Metazoa; Chordata; Mammalia; Primates; Hominidae. The record is from RNAcentral.
CCUUGUCAUUUUACAGCUGGGAAAACAGCCAAAAUGGAAGAUAGGGGAAUGGGCAUAUUUUACCUAAGGUAAACACAUAGUAAUUUCUUGAUAGACUAAAGAGGCACUUUACCUUUAAGAAGCAGUAGAGAAAUGGAUGAACAAAACAAGUAGGUCAUCAGCUUCCUAGGCCUUCCUUUCCCAAGAUGAACCAAUUCUGGGGAAUAAUGUUCGUUCCAAUCUGCCUUAAUGGCUCUUUGGCAUGUCAAAGGUCCUCUGGGGUUGUGCCUGGUCUUGGGAGCCCAAGUGACAAUGUUCACCACUAUGUUAUUGAACAAUUUUUAAGGCAUAUUAUUUUAUUUAGCCCAAAAAGGUUAAAAUGAUUUGAUUUGCCUAAGUUCCCAAAGCCAUGUGGGGAAGUUGACAGAUGAUGUGACCUCAGGAAGAGAGAAGAAAGCAGGUUAGCAACGUAGUUUGUAAUCCAGGAUCGUGCUUUGUUCUGAUAUGGAAACUCUGAGGGCUUCCUCAGUUACUUCCCUGCUGUCCCCAGGAUGGAGCCCAAGCUCCUUGGGAUGGUGUCAAGAACUUUCACAACUGGGCCAACUUUAUCUUCUAGCCUCACCUUACCUCCAUUUCCCACCGAGCUCCAGCCACACUGGCCUACGGGGUGUUUCCUGAACUCACUCUGAAAAUGCAGUCUCCUAUGCCUUCUCUUGCUUUCUCUUGGUGAGCUCUUAUUCAUCCCUCAAGGCCUGGCUCAAAUAUCACCUCUGUGCUAGCUGGGUUUAGUGGCUCAUGCCUGUAAUCCCAGAAUGUUGGGAGGCCAAGGUGGGAGGAUCACUUAAGGUUGGGAGUUCGAGACCAGCCUGGGUAACAUAGCAAGACUCCCAUCUCUUAAAAUAAAAAAAAUCACCUCUGUGAAGCCUUUCCUUACCCUUUUCUGGGCUUACUACUUUUGCCUCCUGGCUCUGUUGCAGGGCCCAUUACAUUGUUAUAGCCCACUCUUCUGUCUAUUCCUUUUCUUUGUGACAGAGAGAGACUCCAUCUCAAAAA